This 387-nucleotide long non-coding RNA is filed under the name Homo sapiens (human). RNAcentral's name for it is "non-protein coding TTTY6B:4". Lineage: Eukaryota; Metazoa; Chordata; Mammalia; Primates; Hominidae. The record is from RNAcentral.
AUGCACCUCCACAGAGGUCUCCUUCUCAGCCAAGCCUCAGGGAAUUGUGGCAUUCAUGCUGUACCCGUGAUCUGUUCCCACUGGAGGAGGAGAUGUCUAGACUGUGAUGGGGUCUCUGAGAACUGCUCUUCUGACUUUAUUCCUGAAAGAGGCUGUGUGCAAGAAUUGAGUCCCAGGGGGACUGGAAUGUUGUCUGUCUUGCAGGGGCUCUUGGUGAAAUGGAGGAACCAUGACAAAGGCAAGUCCAAGGUGGAGCAGUAUUCUCACAGCUCUAAGUGGACUCCCACAGGUGCAGGUGAAUGUGUGGGACCGCAUCCACCCCUCACCAGCUUGUAUCCUCACCUUUAUCUGAUGUUAUGGCUGCUCAAAGUAUCUGUCCCAAAAUGA